ACCUUGGGAUCUUGUUAAAAUGCAGAUUCUGGUUUAGUGGGAAUGAAUUCUGCAUUUCAAACAAGGUUUCAGGUAAU
This 77-nucleotide microRNA precursor is filed under the name Jaculus jaculus (lesser Egyptian jerboa). Its description in RNAcentral is "miRNA (ENSJJAG00000002279.1)". Lineage: Eukaryota; Metazoa; Chordata; Mammalia; Rodentia; Dipodidae. The record is from RNAcentral.